RNAcentral lists this ribosomal RNA (465 nucleotides) under uncultured bacterium. RNAcentral describes it as "partial 16S ribosomal RNA". It matches the Rfam family "Bacterial small subunit ribosomal RNA", at positions 338 to 795 of the family's 1533-position model. The record is from RNAcentral.
CCUACGGGGGGCAGCAGUGGGGAAUAUUGCGCAAUGGGCGAAAGCCUGACGCAGCGACGCCGCGUGAGGGAUGAAGGUCUUCGGAUCGUAAACCUCUGUCAGCAGGGAAGAACGGUCACUGUGCUAAGCAGCAGUGAAUUGACGGUACCAGCAAAGGAAGCACCGGCUAACACCGUGCCAGCAGCCGCGGUAAUACGGAGGGUGCGAGCGUUAAUCGGCAUUACGGGGCGUAACGCGAUCGUAGGCGGUCUGGCAAGUCCAGGGUGCAAUCCCCGCGCUCAGCGUGGGUACUGCCUUUGAAACUGGCAGACUCGCGUGUGUGAGCGGAUAGUGGAAUUCCAGGUGUAGGAGUGAAAUCCGUAGAUAUCUGGAGGAACAUCAGUGGCGGAGGCGACUAUCUGGCACAUAACUGACGCUGAGGAGCGAACGCGUGGGUAGCAAACAGGAUUAGAUACCCGGGUAGUC